AAUGAACGCUGGCGGCAGGCCUAACACAUGCAAGUCGAGCGAGGUAGCAAUACCUAGCGGCGGACGGGUGAGUAACGCGUGGGAACGUACCCUUUGCUUCGGAAUAGCCCCUGGAAACGGGGAGUAAUACCGGAUGAGCCCUACGGGGGAAAGAUUUAUCGGCAAAGGAUCGGCCCGCGUUGGAUUAGGUAGUUGGUGGGGUAAUGGCCUACCAAGCCGACGAUCCAUAGCUGGUUUGAGAGGAUGAUCAGCCACACUGGGACUGAGACACGGCCCAGACUCCUACGGGAGGCAGCAGUGGGGAAUCUUAGACAAUGGGCGCAAGCCUGAUCUAGCCAUGCCGCGUGAUCGAUGAAGGCCUUAGGGUUGUAAAGAUCUUUCGUGGGGGAAGAUAAUGACGGUACCCCAAGAAGAAGCCCCGGCUAACUCCGUGCCAGCAGCCGCGGUAAUACGGAGGGGGCUAGCGUUAUUCGGAAUUACUGGGCGUAAAGCGCACGUAGGCGGAUUGAAAAGUCAGAGGUGAAAUCCCAGAGCUCAACUUUGGAACUGCCUUUGAAACUCUCAGUCUUGAGGUCGAGAGAGGUGAGUGGAAUUCCGAGUGUAGAGGUGAAAUUCGUAGAUAUUCGGAGGAACACCAGUGGCGAAGGCGGCUCACUGGCUCGA
Molecule: ribosomal RNA, 663 nt
Filed under: Pseudomonadota bacterium
Lineage: Bacteria; Pseudomonadati; Pseudomonadota
Description: bacterial SSU rRNA
Rfam family: Bacterial small subunit ribosomal RNA
Source: RNAcentral